UACGGAGGGGGCUAGCGUUGUUCGGAAUUACUGGGCGUAAAGCGCGCGUAGGCGGCUUUGUAAGUUAGAGGUGAAAGCCCGGAGCUCAACUCCGGAAUAGCCUUUAAGACUGCAUCGCUAGAACGUUGGAGAGGUAAGUGGAAUUCCGAGUGUAGAGGUGAAAUUCGUAGAUAUUCGGAAGAACACCAGUGGCGAAGGCGACUUACUGGACAACUGUUGACGCUGAGGUGCGAAAGCGUGGGGAGCAAACAGG
This 253-nucleotide ribosomal RNA is filed under the name uncultured bacterium. Its description in RNAcentral is "partial 16S ribosomal RNA". It matches the Rfam family "Bacterial small subunit ribosomal RNA", at positions 524 to 776 of the family's 1533-position model. The record is from RNAcentral.